This 1233-nucleotide ribosomal RNA is filed under the name Escherichia coli. RNAcentral's name for it is "partial 23S ribosomal RNA". It matches the Rfam family "Bacterial large subunit ribosomal RNA", at positions 1584 to 2798 of the family's 2925-position model. The record is from RNAcentral. Lineage: Bacteria; Pseudomonadati; Pseudomonadota; Gammaproteobacteria; Enterobacterales; Enterobacteriaceae.
GCUGAAGCAACAAAUGCCCUGCUUCCAGGAAAAGCCUCUAAGCAUCAGGUAACAUCAAAUCGUACCCCAAACCGACACAGGUGGUCAGGUAGAGAAUACCAAGGCGCUUGAGAGAACUCGGGUGAAGGAACUAGGCAAAAUGGUGCCGUAACUUCGGGAGAAGGCACGCUGAUAUGUAGGUGAAGUCCCUCGCGGAUGGAGCUGAAAUCAGUCGAAGAUACCAGCUGGCUGCAACUGUUUAUUAAAAACACAGCACUGUGCAAACACGAAAGUGGACGUAUACGGUGUGACGCCUGCCCGGUGCCGGAAGGUUAAUUGAUGGGGUCAGCGCAAGCGAAGCUCUUGAUCGAAGCCCCGGUAAACGGCGGCCGUAACUAUAACGGUCCUAAGGUAGCGAAAUUCCUUGUCGGGUAAGUUCCGACCUGCACGAAUGGCGUAAUGAUGGCCAGGCUGUCUCCACCCGAGACUCAGUGAAAUUGAACUCGCUGUGAAGAUGCAGUGUACCCGCGGCAAGACGGAAAGACCCCGUGAACCUUUACUAUAGCUUGACACUGAACAUUGAGCCUUGAUGUGUAGGAUAGGUGGGAGGCUUAGAAGUGUGGACGCCAGUCUGCAUGGAGCCGACCUUGAAAUACCACCCUUUAAUGUUUGAUGUUCUAACGUUGACCCGUAAUCCGGGUUGCGGACAGUGUCUGGUGGGUAGUUUGACUGGGGCGGUCUCCUCCUAAAGAGUAACGGAGGAGCACGAAGGUUGGCUAAUCCUGGUCGGACAUCAGGAGGUUAGUGCAAUGGCAUAAGCCAGCUUGACUGCGAGCGUGACGGCGCGAGCAGGUGCGAAAGCAGGUCAUAGUGAUCCGGUGGUUCUGAAUGGAAGGGCCAUCGCUCAACGGAUAAAAGGUACUCCGGGGAUAACAGGCUGAUACCGCCCAAGAGUUCAUAUCGACGGCGGUGUUUGGCACCUCGAUGUCGGCUCAUCACAUCCUGGGGCUGAAGUAGGUCCCAAGGGUAUGGCUGUUCGCCAUUUAAAGUGGUACGCGAGCUGGGUUUAGAACGUCGUGAGACAGUUCGGUCCCUAUCUGCCGUGGGCGCUGGAGAACUGAGGGGGGCUGCUCCUAGUACGAGAGGACCGGAGUGGACGCAUCACUGGUGUUCGGGUUGUCAUGCCAAUGGCACUGCCCGGUAGCUAAAUGCGGAAGAGAUAAGUGCUGAAAGCAUCUAAGCACGAAACUUGCC